Molecule: non-coding RNA, 1594 nt
Organism: Bemisia tabaci
Lineage: Eukaryota; Metazoa; Arthropoda; Insecta; Hemiptera; Aleyrodidae
Source: RefSeq, a predicted model, not a curated record
UCUAAGUUUCAUAAUUCAUCUUUUCUGGCAUUUAUCAUUUCGUAAUUGAGUCAUGUCAUGCGAAAGUCUGUAAUGUAUAUUUUUCCAGCUUUUAGUUUUCUUGUGCUUAUAAUAAUUUUCAAGAUUUGACACCGCCAUCAAAGUGUAAAACGAGUAAUAACGCUACAUUCAUCAUUAAAUUCAACUCUCAAAUGUAUUAUCAACUCAAAAAAACUCAAGACUGGAAGAAUGGACAUGAGCGGCCUCUGCAUGAAACGAUUGAAAUAUGUAUAACUCAUGAUAAGCCAAGGAUUAAAACCAUCACUGGUCAAGAGGACCACACACCUUGAGAUCGAAAAAAGUAAUUCUAUUAUUACCAACCGCUGCCUCACCAAAAGUUUUUUUUCUCUCUUUCUACAAAGAACAUACGUGUCUCUUAUGCCAUUCACUGUCAUCUGCCUAUUUCUAGUUGGAUGAAGUUUUCUGUAUUCACAAGUCCACUGGACAAUAAACUGCUUUACCGUGUACUGGCAAAAAAUUGAAAACUCACUUAGUUGUCAGGCUCGUCACAGGAAGAGCCGCCAUCCCGUUUAAUCUACUGCAUCAGUGAAUGAAAAAAAAAGUCCAAGGUAACAACGCAGGAAGAGCCGCCAUCCCGUUUAAUCUACUGCAUCUGUGAUUGAAAAAAAAACGUCCAAGGUAACAAAUCAGGGAAUUUCGUACAGUUCAGAACAUAAGAGUGAUUUUGAAAUCACGAAUUUGAAAAACAGUAAACUUCAAUCAAUGAUGAUAUUUCAUUGUAAACAUAACUAUAUCAUAUCAUCAUGCUUUUCUAUUCAAUGGUACAGGCUUGUGAUAACAUAACGAGCACCUAAGGAGUAGAGUUUGUUUCAAUUUGAACCUCAGCAUUGAGUUUUCGACAGUAAAAGAUUCUAUACCGAAAAUUCUAUUUUGGAGAAAAUCCCUAAUUGAGGAUUGAACACCAUGUACUUCCUCCAUUAGUUAAACUGCCCCUAAACUUUAAUUCCUUUGUGACUUGCUGAACCUUUUAAAAGGGGUGUGGAAAAUAGCAGAUGGCUGCCCUGUGCAGGUUUCUAACAUAUUUUUUUUCUUUGUUUUUUUUUAUUUUGUGUUUUGUUUGAAAACAUGCACAAGUUCUUUUAUUGGCAAGAGACUUUCUGCUGCUGAGAUGAUAUGUUCCUUAUUAUUUAAGUUUUUUUUUUCAACAUGAAUGGUAAUUGAGAGGGGUGGGUUUGUCACUAAAAACAUGUCGCCUUUCUCAUUUUAAACAGAAAAAUUAGAGUACUGAAGUCUUUGUCCAUUAGUUACCAACGCAUGGAUGAUGCAGGGGUAGAGAUGACAACUAUACAGUGGAUCAGGGUUAUAUGUUCCCCGAUAAACAUGAAAACUUUGCAAAAUUCGCAUUCCAUUCUCUCUCUAUGAUCUUUAGUUCAUUUCUAUUGUACAGAAACAUGUAUAAGCUACAUUCAUUUUAUUGGAUACACCAUCUUACAAGGAUUCAGAAAUCUUGUACUCCUGAAAAUGGGCUUAAUGGCACUAAUGCCUGUUUACCAAAAAUAUCCUUAAUAAAUUUGUUGUCACUUCUGAUAUCCAA